GGCCCAUUGGCCUAAUGGCUAAGGCGUCAGAUUUCGGCUCUGAAGAUUGCGCGUUCGAGUCGCGUGUGGGUCG
Molecule: transfer RNA, 73 nt
Organism: Neurospora crassa OR74A
Lineage: Eukaryota; Fungi; Ascomycota; Sordariomycetes; Sordariales; Sordariaceae
Rfam family: tRNA
About the family: Transfer RNA (tRNA) molecules are approximately 80 nucleotides in length.
Source: Rfam